Molecule: non-coding RNA, 601 nt
Organism: Elaeis guineensis (African oil palm)
Lineage: Eukaryota; Viridiplantae; Streptophyta; Magnoliopsida; Arecales; Arecaceae
Source: RefSeq, a predicted model, not a curated record
UUGAGUGGGUCAUGGUGUGGUUCCAGGUGUGAAAAAUUUCAAACACGUGGUGCGCGCGCCACUAUGUAUGUAAACCCGAACCCGCAGCUCUGGUCCUCGCCGCGAUCCUCCCAGUGGGGACAGGGCCAUCACUCGCUCUCUUUCUCUUUUGCCUCCCUUUGCUUUCUCUAAUCCGAGGUUCUUAAGGAGACGGAUGAUUUCAUGAUCAGAAUUUUUUUUUGAAGAAGAUGGAUGGUUUUAUGACCAGAAUCUCGAGAUGGUUAAAGGUGACUUGUGGGGACAUGGGAGAACUUGAUGAAGAUCAGAAGAAUUAAGAAACUAGAGAGAUGGAACUGACAAACCAUAUAAAUCAAAAGAUAGAAUCUGACAAUGUUGUUUACCACUCAUGAAUUAUUUGCAUUCAGUUAAUUAUGCAUUAGCAGCAUCUACCAACUGAAAGUAGAGUUAUCAGAGGAGAAACUUGGGAUCUUCAGAUGAUUACUCAUAGCUCAUUUAAUGUUCACAAACAUGACACGCUAGGAGAUCUAUAUCUUUGGAUGCAUGAGUAAUGAGCCCCAUGUAUCAUGAUUAAAAAAUGAAUAUAGCCCAUCACCCUCCUCUA